This 12967-nucleotide long non-coding RNA is filed under the name Malus domestica (apple). Its description in RNAcentral is "long non-coding RNA (MDOM_LNC004302)". The record is from RNAcentral. Lineage: Eukaryota; Viridiplantae; Streptophyta; Magnoliopsida; Rosales; Rosaceae.
CUCGCCCACAACUAUUCAACUAACUUUUAAUAAUUUGACAACGUGUCAUAUUUUUGUGCAAAGCGGGCCCAUUUUUGUGGGUGAUAUAAUAAUGGCGUAUGUGGUUUGUCAAGACAUAUACUCAUUUAUCCAUUAGCAGUUAGGUAAGUCACCUCACUCACCCACAGCCUAACACAUCAACAAAUAUUGCUUACAAAUUCUAGAAAAUUCGACCAAGAAAAAAAACCAAAUGCUCGCAAAUUAAAAUUGUGUAACAUGAUUAGUUUUUUAUCCAUUAGUAUUAAUUUUACGUUGGAAGAAAUUCCAAAUUUAUUCUUGUAAAGAGGGAUAUGAAAAUACUUUGUAUGUCUAUCACCAAAAUCUUCGAAUGUUUGAAUGGUUGAUUUUCAAGUCUCACACAAUUGGAUUUAGUUCAAGUGAGAAAGAAAUACACUCAAACUAUUAGAUAUGAGGAAUGAAAAUACACUACAAAAUCUUGUGAACAUUUCUAAUAUUCUCUUCUAUCUACUUUUUGUGAACCAAGUUUUUAUUUGUUUUUUUUUUUAACAAAAGAUAUUUUUUAUACUAGGGAAAUAAGGUGGGUUUAGCCUCAUAAUGGGCUAACAUAAUCUAGUUCAAACUUGCAUUUGGUGAGAAUCGAACCUAAAAUCUCUCACUUACAAGUGAAGAGGAAUACCAUUAGAAGUGUCAUGAAAUUAGCAGUCUUAUAUGUAAAAAAUUGAUUGACUAAAUGCUGUGUUAAAAAACAAGAUUAAUACUUGCAUCUCCCCACUUGGAAAAUGCAAAUAUUUCAUUUCUUGCAAAUAACGUAUAUCAUGCGUUCUGUUCAAUCGCAUAUUCAAAAAUGUUAAAAACAAGAUUAAUAUUUCUAUCUCCCCACUUGGAAAAUGCAGUAUUUCAUUUUUUACGAAUAACGUAUAUCCUGUGUUCCGUCCAAUCGCGUAUUAAAAAAAUGUGUGAAGUUUGGAUUAACUACACUCUUUGAGAAUUUCCUUAAAUAACCACUUUUUGAAAAUUUCUUAUAGGACUAAGUGAGUCUCCGCUGAGAAUUUCCUUAACUAACACAACACUACUUGAGUGAUAAUUUGUUAUAUCUUGAAUAGAGAAUAAAUCAGUUCCCUACUUUUGAAGGUACUAUUAACUUACACUAUAUUUGAAUGAGAACAAUAAACUUAGAAUUUAGAUGAAGGAAAUAAAACAGUUUCCUACUUUUGAAGGUACUACUCGAGUGAUAAUUUGUUAUAUCUUGAUAACGUGUCAUAUUUUUUUGCUAAGCGGACCCAUUUUUGUGGGGUGGUAUAAUAAUGGCGUUUGUUGUUUGUCAAGGGCAUAUACCCAUUUAUCCAUUAGCAGUUAGGUCACCUCACUCACCCACAACCUAGUACAUCAACAAAUAUUGCUUACAAAUUCUAGAAAAUUCAACCAAGAGAAAGAAAACCAAAUGCUCGCAAAUUAAUCUGUGUAACAUUAGUUUUUAUCCAUUAGUAUUUAUUUUACAUUGGAAGAAAUUCCAAAUUUAAUCUCGUAAAGAGGGAUAUGAAAAUACUUUGUAUAUCUAUUAUCAAAAUCUUUGAAUGUUUGAAUGAUUGAUCAUCAAGUCUCACACGAUUGAAUUUAGUUCAAGUGAGGAAGAAAUACACACAAACUAUUAUAUAUGAGGAUUGAAAAAUACACUACAAAAUCUUGUGAUAACAUUUCUAAUAUUCCUUUCUAUCUACAUUUUGUGAUAAGUUUUUUUUUUCCUUUUUUGAACAAACUAUAUUUAUCUACAUUAAGGGAGAGGAGGUGAUCUUAGCCUCACAAUGGGCUAGCAUAAUGUGGUUCAAAUUCGCCUUUGGCGAUAAUCGAACCUAAAACUUAUCAUUUACAAGUAAAUAGGAAUACCACUAGAUGGAUCAUGAAAUUAGCAGUCUUAUAGGUAAAAAAAAAUUGAUCGACUAAAUGAUGUGUUAAAAAACAAGAUUAAUACUUGCAUCUCUCCACUUGAAAAAUGUAGAUAUUUCUGUGAACACGGAAAAUUCCUGAAACGAAAGAGACAAGAACAACGUGCACAAAAUAAUAUUUUGGUGUUAAUGGAUUUGUUGGGUUACGAUCUCUUUUAACUUGAUCCUCUGAUUCGAUCUCCGUAAGGUGUUGAUUUAUGGAUGUUUCGUUGAUCCAAGGGCUGUUGAGGCUUGAUCUUAGAUGAACUGUUGGAAGUUUCUUCAAGGGGCCGUGGGCUUGAUCUUUGAAGGUGGAUUUGAGCGGAUCUUCAAGGAGCCGUUGGGGCUUGAUCUUGAGGAUGAGUGUUUCUUCAAGGGCCGUUAAGGCUUGAUCUUGAAUAACGGUGAUGAACGGAUCUUCAAGGGCUUUUGGGCUUGAUCUUGAAGAACGGUUGGAUGUGUGGAUUUGUUGAUGUUGUUGAUCCAAGGGCCGUCGGAGCUUGAUCUUGGAAGAACGAUGAACGAAGAACGAAGAACACUUUCUUCAAAGGCCGUCGGGGCUUGAUCUUGAAUUGGUGAUUGUUGAUCCAAGGGCCGUCGGGGCUUGAUCUUGGAAGAACGAUGAACGAAGAACGAAGAACACUUUCUUCAAGGGCUGUCGGGGCUUGAUCUUGAAUUGGUGAUUGUUAAUCCAAGGGCCGUCGGGGCUUGAUCUUGAUUCUUCGGGAUGAACGGAUGAUGAACAAUGAACACUUUCUUCAAGGGCCGUCGGGGCUUGAUCUUGAAUUGGUGGAAGUUCUUCAAGGGCCUUUGGGGCUUGAUCUUGAAGGUGGAUGAUUGUUGAUCCAAGGGCCGUCGGGGCUUGAUCUUGGGAUGAACAGUUGUGUGGAUUUGUUGAACACUUUCUUCAAGGGCCGUCGAUGCUUGAUCUUGAAUUGGUGGAAGUUCUUCAAGGGCCGUUGGGGCUUGAUCUUGAAGGAGGAUUUGACGAAGAACGAAGAGGGCUUUCUUGAUCCUUCGGGAUUUGCUUGAAUUUGGGAGGUUGGAUGCUUGAAAGCUUUAGAGUUUCAAAGCUUCAAGGAUUUUGGAUGUGUGGGGAGUAUUCUCUUCCAUUUUGGGAGUAGAGAAAUGUAUUUGUGAAUUGGUUUUUGAUACCUUGAUGUAGAAGCCUAUUUAUAGGCUUUGAGAAUGAAUCACCACCACAAAAUAUUUUUUUUCUUUUCCAAGCACCAUUGCCUAAUUUCCCACUUAAUACAAUUUUAAACUUGAAGUGGUAAUUUUAUGGCCUAAUUUUCCACUUAAUAUCAUUUUAAACUUGAUAUGUGCAUGCUUUGUCAUUGCCCAAAAUGAGAAGAAAACCUUGUUUUGAUCUUCAAUGAAUUGAAAUGUGCUUGCCUUGUCAUUGCCCAAAAUGAGAAGAAAAACUUGUGUAAUCCUUCAAGGGUAUUUCUUUUUAUUUUGUUGAGUCGCACACCAUGUGUACAAUUUGUAUGACACGUGGCAUAUGCCAUGUACGCCUUGACACGUCAAAAUUUUAAUGCGUUGGUGAACAUUUAUUUCACCGCAAUUUCGGUGUCUACAAAUGCCCCCACUUCAAGGUGCGUCGUAUACAUGUGCUUGUCACGUGUAGGAGAUGCGUUUUGAAGUCCCUUACUGUAGAUGUCAAUCCAAUGGCCAUCGAGGCUUGAUCUUGAAUUGGGCUGGAGAUUUCUUCAAGGGCCGUUGAGGCUUGUUCUUGGACUUUGUUUGAAAUUUCUUCAAGGGCCAUCGAGGCUUGAUCUUGAAGGUUGAAAUUGGACCACAAGGAGCUUCAUGUGGUAGAUGAUCUUUGGCUUUGGUAGUGGAUGAAUCGGCACGUAUUUGUUUUUGCGCUUUGUUGACUUUCCACAGCUUUGAUCUUGAACUGGGUUGGAGGAUUUUUUGGAUUCCUCCAAUUGUUGAUUUUCCACAGUUUAUUCUUGAACUGGAUUUGAUUCAAAUAUGGUGGACGCUUGAUCUUGAAUCGGACUUGUGAUUUCCUCAAGGGCCGUCGAGGCUUGAUCUUGAAUUUGGCCGGAAACUUCUUCAAGGGCCGUUGAGGCUUGAUUCUUGAAGGUUGACUCGAACACAUGGCAAGCAGGCACGAGGUGAAGGUGACGACUUGUUGCUUUGUUCAAUCUUUCUAAUUCACACCUGAGCAGUUUGGUCAACGGUAUGAUCUUCAAGAUUGAUGGGCUCUUCUUCCAGUUGGUGAUUUGAUCUUUAAGGAUUUGAUUCAAGGGUGGUGAAACGGCACAUGCAGCCCACAACGCCUAGCAAGUCGACCCAAGAAUUUGAGGGUUAAAACGAGUCCUCCACCCAGAGUGAUUGCAAACCUGAUGAUAUGAGAUACUUUUGAUUUUGAAGAAGUAGCGGAUGAAUCGGCACGUGCUUUGUUGUGCUUGUCUCCACAUGCUUCAAUGUAUCAUUUUCCCUUGUCUUAUCUAUUCUUCUAGCAGAAUGUAGCAUCUUCUUAAGUUCUUCAACUCAGACUCCUUCUGCUGAGCUGACUGUGCAGGCUGCAUUAUUCUCUGCUUGUUUCUUUAGGCAGAUGUGGCAGCUUCUUGAGUUCCUCAGCUCGGACUCCUUCUGCUGAGCUGAUUGUGAAGACUGCAUUCUUAUCUGCUUGUUUCUUCUGUACGUUGUCUCCACAUGCUGCAAGGUAUCAUUUUCAAUUGCCUUAUUUGUUUUCCAGGCAAAUGUGGCAUCCGAGUUUGAGUGGAGGUUCUGGCAUAUUGUUUUCUUUAUCCUUGUCUUUGUAGGUAAGAACAAGGACAAAGGAAAGGACAGGGAGAACGCAUGAUAUGAUAUACUCUUGCUUUCUACCCUGGUGAUAUGAGAUACUUUUGCUUUGGUGUCAUUUGUUUGCAGAGGUACCCCAAGGAAUAAGAAACACUGAGUGACUCGAGAGGCUUUGUUGGGAAGGCAUUCUAGGAGAUGAAGAAAGGUUCUUGGAGAUGAAGAAAGGUUCUCGGAGAUGAAGAAAGGUUAUGUAUGUCUGCCUUGCUAUGGAGGGUAAAGGUGGACAGUUAUAGGAAAUUCUUUAGUACCUGUAGAGGUACUAUUCUUUUACUCGUGUCGGCAACCAAUGUGUGAUUGAUCAGUAUGGCUUCACGUGUUUUCUUCUUUAUCAGAAAUCUUCGACAAAUUGUCCGUAAUUUUCGUCAAGCUGAGUGUGCAUGUGACAGGUGUUGACGAGGCUGAAAAAGACUGGUGCCUCUUCGAUAUCUGGGAUCGGCGCUUCGACAAAUUGCCCGUGAUUUCCGCAAAGCUGAGUUUGCGCGUGACGGGUGCUGACGAGGCUGAAAAAGACUGGCGCCUCUUCGAUAUCUGGGAUUGGCGCUUUAACAAAUUGCCCAUGAUUUCUGCAAAGCUGAGUUUGCACGUGACGGGUGCUAACGCGUCUGGAAAAGCAAGAUGCUUCUCCGAUUUCUGAGCUUGCCUCUUUGAUUUUUGAAUUGGCCUCUUCGAAUUCUGAGCUCGCCUCUUCGAUCUUUGAAAUCCCAUCGAGUGUUGAUCUUUAUAGAGGCACGCAGUUCGUUUCAAAGCACACUUGAAUUUUCGCUUGUAGAAACUCCCUUCUUGCACUUCUAAGAUCUUGAUUUGUCCGACCUCUUCUUUCUUCAACACCUUUGAAAAUGUCUGGACCCUCCGACCGUCAUUUUGAUUUGAACCUUGGUGAAGAGGUAGUCCCGUCUUCUCCAGAUAACAUAUGACGCCCAUCUUUCAUAUCCCCUACUGGUCCUCUUACCGUUGGGGAUUCGGUGGUGAAGAAUGAUAUGACCGCUGCGGUGGUGGCCCGAAACCUUGUCACUCCCAGAGAUAACAGACUACUUUCCAAACGGUCUGAUGAGUUGGCUGUUAAGGAUUCUCUGGCUCUCAGUGUGCAGUGUGCAGGUUCUGUGUCUAAUAUGGCCCAACGCCUAUUUGCUCGAACCCGUCAAGUUGAAUCAUUGGCGGCUGAAGUGAUGAGUCUCAAACAGGAGAUAUUAGAGGGCUCAAGCAGAGAGAUAAACAGUUGCAUAAGCUCGCACAUAGCUAUGCGACAAACAUGAAGAGGAAGAUUAACCAGAUGCAGGAAUCUGAUGGUCAGAUUUUACUUGAUCAUCAGAGGUUUGUGGGUUUGUUCCAGCAGCAUUUGCCUUCGUCUUCUGGGGCUGUACCGCGUAAUGAAGCUCCAAAUGAUCAACCCUUGGCUCCUCUUCUUCCUGGAGUUCCGCCGAGUGGUGUGGCUUCAAACAGUCAACCUCCGACGCCUCUCAUUUCUGGAGCUCUGCUGAGUGGUGAGGUGGCACCUAAUCGUCCUUGAAGAUCCCCUCUUGUAAAUUUGAUUUGAUUUUUUUUUAAGUAUGUAUAAUGCAAAUUUAUGUAAAAUUUCCAGAAAAAAUAAAUAAAAACGGACUUUAUUUCUCUCAAUGCAUUUGUUUUGUUUUGUUUUUGUUUUUUUUGUUUUUUUGUUUUUGUUUUUUUUGUAAAUACAUAAUAACAUAUGUAUUUAUUUAUUUAUUCUUUUGUAAUAAAAUUGACUUUCUUUAAUAAAACUUUUAUAUUUUUCUUAUUUAUUUUGAUAUGACUGAACUCGAAAUUGAAUGUUCGAGCCGCCUACGUACCCUUCCAAAGAAGAGAUCAAGCCAUAACGUAGUUCAAAUGAGUGAUGAAUUUAAUAGUGAUUUUGAUGAUGAUUUUGCCGUACACAGUUUAUGCUCUUGUGGGCCAGGAGCUUUGGUGUUGCCUUUUAUGCUCGUGCAGACCAGGAGCGUUGAUGUCGCCUUUUAUGCUCGUGUGGGUCAGGAGCGUUGAUGUUGCCUUUUAUGCUCGUGCAGACCAGGAGCUUUGUGCCAUGCAGUUUAGACUCGUGCGGGCAAGGAGCUUUGGUUCGUGCAGUUUAGGCUCAUGCGAACAAGGAGCAUUGGUUCGUGCAGUUUAGGCUCGUGCGAACAAGGAGCAUUGGUGUUGCCUUUUAUGCUCGUGCAGACCAGGAGCUUUGUGCUAUGCAGUUUAGACUCGUGCGGGUGAGGAGAAUUUGUGAAUUUUGUCAAGCACUUUUGGAGAGGCGUUCCUUACAAUCUUCAUAGCAAGGAGCCUUGACCGAGUGAUUGAAGAAGUCUUCGGGAAAGAAGUCGCACAUCGUGAUGGCAACAGACGAUCUUUGUGUCGUAAUUUCAUCAUCUUCAACACGUUCACGUUGCUUUGAAGGUUGACAAGAGCUGCUUUGCCCCCUUUCCGAUUGGCGGACUUGUGGAGGAGACGUAUGCUUCUUGUGCCAUUUCUUAGGAGUGACUUGAGUCCAUCCUUCAAGUUUGCUUGUUUUGGAGGAUGCCCCCGGCGGUUGAGGUGAAAAUUUUGUGUUGAAAGAGCCAGAAGUGAUGGUGGUAUAGUUUGACUUCACCACAUCGUCAAGAUCUAGCUCGAUGAUUCCUUUCUGAGCCCACUUUAUGAUGAGAUCUUUCAGCACAAAGCACUUUUCUGUCGGAUGACUGAUGAAGCGGUGGAAUUUACAGUAUCUUGGACUGUUGGUACGAUUCAUCUCUUCCGGCCAUCUGCACUCAGGCAAACUGAUCACCUUCUUGUCCAACAGGUCAUCCAACAUGGCAACCACAUCAGAGUCAGGGAAUGGAUAAGUCUUCUCUUUAAGCUCCUUCAAAGUGCGUCUACGCAUCUCUUGAUCACGAAAAGCUUCGGUUUGAAUCGUUUUGCCUCGUGUGGAGAUUUUGACGGGAGAUGUGUUGACUGUCAUUGCUUCCUUGGUGGAUUUCCACGUAGCCUUCUCCACCUUUGUCUCAAGAAUUUUGUCGUUCUUGUAGUCGGCGAUCGGUUCCUUCUUCCCAUGAUGGGUGAUGCUCAACUCCAUGUCAUGGGCGUGGGUGGCCAAUUCCUCGAAGGUCCGUGGUUUAAUGCCUUGAAGGAUGUAUUGCAAACCUCAUUGCAUGCCUUGGAUGCACAUCUCGAUUGAAGAGGUCUCCGAGAGCCUAUCUUUGCAGUCGAGGCUUAGAGUGCGCCAUCUGUUGAUGUAGUCAAUGACCGGCUCAUCUUUCCAUUGCUUCAUACUUGUGAGCUCCAACAUGCUUACAGUGCGGCGGGUGUUGUAGAAGCGGUUGAGGAAUUCCCGCUCCAAUUGCUCCCAGCUGUUGAUGGACUCAGGCUCUAGGUCCGUGUACCACUCAAAUGCGUUUCUUUUCAGCGAGCGCAUAAACUGCUUGGCGAAGUAGUCCCCCUCCGUCCCCGCGUUGUUGCAAGUUUUGACGAAAUGUGCAACGUGCUGCUUUGGGUUUCCUUUUCCAUCAAACUGCAUGAACUUUGGUGGUUGAUAUCCCAUCGGCAUCUUUAGGGCAUCAAUCUUCUUUGAAUAAGGCUUUGAGUACAACCCGGAGGUAUUUGAGCUCCCUUCGUACUAUGCCUUGACGGUGCUGGCAAUCAUCUCUUGCAACUGUUGGAUAGAAAGAGAUCCCAUGAGUGCCGCUUCUUGGUCUGGCUCCGGCUUCACAUCGAUUUUCUCCACCGUAGGCUCAUCUUCUGGGUUAGGGUUCUCGCUGUCCUGUGGCUCCAGUUGACUGAUGAGUGCAGCGAUUUGCAAGUCUUUUUCUUCCACAGUUCGGGUUAGCCUUGCGAUUGCUUCAUUCAUUUGAGCCAGUUGUUCUUCGAUGGAGGUAACGCCGAUGGUCAUGACUUGUGCAACCAAUAGACGUGACUUUCCUUUAGACAUCCAAGAUGCUGAAGAAGAACGUCAUUGGUUGUUUUGGGAUGUCAUCUUGUGUGCCUCAGCAACAUGCUUUGGUGCCCCCAGCGAGGUCAGGUUGAUGACAGACUCACACCUUUGAUGCUCCCUUUGCUCUUUUAGCGGCACCAACUUUGAAGUGGCAUGUUAAGGAGCGGUUGUGGUGCUAAUGGAUUGUCCAUUUGCGGCAGAAGUGCUUAGGAUCCUUCCCUCAGUGAUUGCGAGAACGGCUUGUCCCUUGCUUGAUGCCAUUGAUUUUGAGGUGUGUUUGGAUUCCUUAAACGGAGAAAGAUAUGAGAGGUAGAGAUUGUCCCACCGGGCGUGCCAAUUUGUGAACACGAAAAUUUCCUGAAACGAAAGAGACAAGAACAACGUGCACAAAAUAAUAUUUUGGUGUUAAUGGAUUUGUUGGGUUACGAUCUCUUUUAACUUGAUCCUCUGAUUCGAUCUCCGUAAGGUGUUGAUUUAUGGAUGUUUCGUUGAUCUAAGGGCCGUCGAGGCUUGAUCUUGGAUGAACUGUUGGAAGUUUCUUCAAGGGGCCGUGGGCUUGAUCUUUGAAGGUGGAUUUGAGCGGAUCUUCAAGGAGCCGUUGGGGCUUGAUCUUGAGGAUGAGUGUUUCUUCAAGGGCCGUUAAGGCUUGAUCUUGAAUAACGGUGAUGAACGGAUCUUCAAGGGCUUUUGGGCUUGAUCUUGAAGAACGGUUGGAUGUGUGGAUUUGUUGAUGUUGUUGAUCCAAGGGCCGUCGGGGCUUGAUCUUGGAAGAACGAUGAACGAAGAACGAAGAACACUUUCUUCAAAGGCCGUCGGGGCUUGAUCUUGAAUUGGUGAUUGUUGAUCCAAGGGCCGUCGGGGCUUGAUCUUGGAAGAACGGUGAACGAAGAAUGAAGAACGAAGAACACUUUCUUCAAGGGCCGUCGGGGCUUGAUCUUGAAUUGGUGAUUGUUAAUCAAAGGGCCGUCGGGGCUUGAUCUUGGAAGAACGAUGAACGAAGAACGAAGAAGGCUUUCUUGAUUCUUCGGGAUGAACGGAUGAUGAACAAUGAACACUUUCUUCAAGGGCCAUCGGGGCUUGAUCUUGAAUUGGUGGAAGUUCUUCAGGGCCUUUGGGGCUUGAUCUUGAAGGUGGAUGAUUGUUGAUCCAAGGGCCGUCGGGGCUUGAUCUUGGGAUGAACAGUUGUGUGGAUUUGUUGAACACUUUCUUCAAGGGCCGUCGAUGCUUGAUCUUGAAUUGGUGGAAGUUCGUCAAGGGCCGUUGGGGCUUGAUCUUGAAGAAGGAUUUGACGAAGAACGAAGAGAGCUUUCUUGAUCCUUCGGAAUUUGCUUGAAUUUGGGAGGUUGGAUGCUUGAAAGCUUUAGAGUUUCAAAGCUUCAAGGAUUUUGGAUGUGUGGGGAGUAUUCUCUUACAUUUUGGGAGUAGAGAAAUGUAUUUGUGAAUUGGUUUUUGAUACCUUGAUGUAGAAGCCUAUUUAUAGGCUUUGAGAAUGAAUCACCACCACAAAAUAUUUUUUUCUUUUCCAAGCACCAUUGCCUAAUUUCCCACUUAAUACAAUUUUAAACUUGAAGUGGUAAUUUUAUGGCCUAAUUUUCCACUUAAUAUCAUUUUAAACUUGAUAUGUGCAUGCUUUGUCAUUGCCCAAAAUGAGAAGAAAACCUUGUUUUGAUCUUCAAUGGAUUGAAAUGUGCUUUGCCUUGUCAUUGCCCAAAAUGAGAAGAAAAACUUGUGUAAUCCUCCAAGGGUAUUUCUUUUUAUUUUGUUGAGUCACACACCAUGUGUACAAUUUGUAUGACACGUGGCAUAUGCCAUAUAUGCCUUGACACGUCAAAAUUUUAAUGCGUUGGUGAACAUUUAUUUCACCGCAAUUUCGAUGUCUACAAUUUCAUUUCUUGUGAAUAAUGUUUAUCCUGUGUUCUGUCCAAUCGCGUAUUAAAAAAUGUGUGAAGUUUGGAUUAACCACACUCUUUUAGAAUUUCCUUUAUUUACCACUUUUUGAGAAUUUCCAAUAAGACUGGGUGAGUCUCCGCUGAGAAUUUCCUCAACUAACACCACACUACUUGAGGGAUAAUUUGUUAUAUCUUUGAAUAAAGAAUAAAACAGUUUCCUACUUUUGAAGGUACUAUUAACUUACACUAUAUUUGGAUGAAGGUCAAACUUUAUAAAUUGACAUACACCAAAUUCUUUGUUUGGAUUCAUAAACAUAUAAAUUUAGAAUUUCCGCGUGGAAAAAAAAAAUACUUAGAAUUUGAGACCUCCAAUUCUCAAAUUGAAAGUUUAAAAAUAAUAAAUUCCGUAUUCAAUUCAAUUGUUCUUUUAGGUUAACCAAAUAAGAAAAUUCACAAAUUCUAAAAUAUAAAAUCUCAUCAUUUCAAUUUCCGUCAUUUUAAAAUUCCUUAGUAAUAUUAAAUUUCUUCAUCCAAACAUAGUGUUAAGAAAUUUUUUAAAGAUACACUAUUUACACUCAUUUUUAUUUCUUACACAUUUAUUAACUUUGUCCAUUGAUUUCUUCAAUUCAUUUUGCCAGUUAUACAAAAAUUGAGAACAGUAUUUAUGAAUUAAAAAUACAUUUGUAGAUGUCACUACCAAAUUUUUAUUCCUAAUUCAAGAAAAUCUUAUCCAUAUAUGAUUGCCCUUGCCCACUUUAAAUGGGUGCCAUCACUUUACGAUAGAGCAAUCCUAACCGUCCACCUAGGUAAGCAUAACUGGCGAUGCAUGUCGCAAGGGGACCGCAUUGCACAAUAUAAUUAUACUAGUUGAUAAGACAAGUGAUGUCAAUCAAUAAAUUAUUUCAUUAAAACUUAGUUGUAUGUAUCAUAUGUUGUAAUGUAGGGUGUAUGAUAUGCUGACGCUGUAAAAAAAUGUAACCUUUUUAAUAUUACUCAUAAUAGUAAGACUUACCAGUAUUAGGAUGUUAUCAGUGGAAUGAGAAUCCUCUCCAGAUCUUUUUUGUGAGCUAUUAUUUGUAUUUAAUUUUAAAUAUAAAAAAUUAAAAUAAUUUAUGACGGCAGUGAUUCACAUGAUCUUCACAAAGAGAAUCCAAAUAAUCUUAAUUUAUAUCAGUGUGUCUAGAUAACAUGAUCGAGCCCCUUUACUUUUACCCUAUUUAGUAUUUUACAUUUGAACCUGUAAAUAUUCGAUUUUUCUUUGGUGCAACCGAGCACCAAAUAUAGAUUUUUUUUCACUUUUAUAUAAUGAUAAAUAAAGGGCAAUUGGCAGAUUUGAAUUCCAUUCGGAUUGGUCAAAAAUCAUUUUAAAUUGUUUUAUUUAAAAUUAAACACAUAUAGUACUUAAUAAAAAUUAGUCGUACAAUAUACGAUAAACAGAUAUAAUGUAAGGACCUUUAUGAUCUUCACAAAAAAGAUCCAAAGGUUGUGUAGCUGUUUCAAAAGGAUAAUACUCACUUUUGAUUAGUUCAAUGAAAUUUUAAACAUGUUUUAUUGUUUUAAAAAAUAAUAAACAUAUUUAUUAAUGUUUGUUUUACUUUAAAAAAUAAGCAGCACUUGACAACAUUUGAUUGUGCUAAAUAAAAAAUGAGUGACCACUUAGUACUACAGUCUUAUGAUAUUUUUCUUCAUUUGAAAGUGAGAGGUUUUAAGUUCGAAUCUCGUGGAUGACGAAUUUGAUAUCAAAUUAGAUUGCUCACUAUGUGGCUUAGCCGAACUCUCAUUUCCUUUAAUGUAAAAAUAUUGAUGUAUUCAAAAAAAUAAAAAGUGACUAUAGAGGACACUCAAUCUCAGCUGUAUGAUUAAAUCAGACGGUAAGAAAAAUUCUGCAAGCAUACUCGGUUACAUUAAUUGAAGAAAAAAUGGGUAAAUAUUGGGCACCAACGUUAUAAAUACCCUCCACCAUGCACCCAACUCCCUCACACCAUCACAACCCACGUUACAAAUCCUCCUCCUCAUCAUAACCAUUCUGUUUUCCGCAUAAUAUCCAAAAACCUAUCAUGUCUGAAGAGAAACACCACCGCGGUCUCUUCCACCACCACAAGGAUGAAGACAAACCCUCAGACUACCCUCAGUCUGGCUACUCUGAUGAAGGACGUCCCGGCGGCCUCGGUGGUGGUUACGGCGACACCAAUGAUUAUUCUGGUGAAGGACGUACCGGCGGCCUAGGUGGUGGCUAUGGCGACACCAAUGCUUAUUCUGGUGAAGGACGUCCCGGCGGCUAUGGCGGCUAUAACGAGACCACUGCUUACUCUGAGGAAAGAGUUGAAAGACCCGGCGGUGGCCGGUACAGUGAGACUACUGCGGCAUAUGGCAGCACCACCACUCAUGAAUCUGAACUUGAUUACAAGAAGGAGGAGAAGCACCACAAGCAU